Molecule: ribosomal RNA, 792 nt
Filed under: Streptomyces sp.
Lineage: Bacteria; Bacillati; Actinomycetota; Actinomycetes; Kitasatosporales; Streptomycetaceae
Description: bacterial SSU rRNA
Rfam family: Bacterial small subunit ribosomal RNA
Source: RNAcentral
CGAUGAACCACUUCGGUGGGGAUUAGUGGCGAACGGGUGAGUAACACGUGGGCAAUCUGCCCUGCACUCUGGGACAAGCCCUGGAAACGGGGUCUAAUACCGGAUACUGACCCUCACGGGCAUCUGUGAGGUUCGAAAGCUCCGGCGGUGCAGGAUGAGCCCGCGGCCUAUCAGCUUGUUGGUGAGGUAACGGCUCACCAAGGCGACGACGGGUAGCCGGCCUGAGAGGGCGACCGGCCACACUGGGACUGAGACACGGCCCAGACUCCUACGGGAGGCAGCAGUGGGGAAUAUUGCACAAUGGGCGCAAGCCUGAUGCAGCGACGCCGCGUGAGGGAUGACGGCCUUCGGGUUGUAAACCUCUUUCAGCAGGGAAGAAGCGAAAGUGACGGUACCUGCAGAAGAAGCGCCGGCUAACUACGUGCCAGCAGCCGCGGUAAUACGUAGGGCGCGAGCGUUGUCCGGAAUUAUUGGGCGUAAAGAGCUCGUAGGCGGCUUGUCGCGUCGGUUGUGAAAGCCCGGGGCUUAACCCCGGGUCUGCAGUCGAUACGGGCAGGCUAGAGUUCGGUAGGGGAGAUCGGAAUUCCUGGUGUAGCGGUGAAAUGCGCAGAUAUCAGGAGGAACACCGGUGGCGAAGGCGGAUCUCUGGGCCGAUACUGACGCUGAGGAGCGAAAGCGUGGGGAGCGAACAGGAUUAGAUACCCUGGUAGUCCACGCCGUAAACGGUGGGCACUAGGUGUGGGCAACAUUCCACGUUGUCCGUGCCGCAGCUAACGCAUUAAGUGCCCCGCC